AGUGAACGCUGGCGGUAGGCCUAACACAUGCAAGUCGAACGGCAGCACAGUAAGAGCUUGCUCUUACGGGUGGCGAGUGGCGGACGGGUGAGGAAUACAUCGGAAUCUACUUUUUCGUGGGGGAUAACGUAGGGAAACUUACGCUAAUACCGCAUACGACCUACGGGUGAGAGCAGGGGAUCUUCGGACCUUGCGCGAUUGAAUGAGCCGAUGUCGGAUUAGCUAGUUGGCGGGGUAAAGGCCCACCAAGGCGACGAUCCGUAGCUGGUCUGAGAGGAUGAUCAGCCACACUGGAACUGAGACACGGUCCAGACUCCUACGGGAGGCAGCAGUGGGGAAUAUUGGACAAUGGGCGCAAGCCUGAUCCAGCCAUUCCGCGUGGGUGAAGAAGGCCUUCGGGUUGUAAAGCCCUUUUGUUGGGAAAGAAAAGCAGCAGGUUAAUACCCCGCUGUUCUGACGGUACCCAAAGAAUAAGCACCGGCUAACUUCGUG
Molecule: ribosomal RNA, 492 nt
Filed under: uncultured bacterium
Lineage: Bacteria
Description: partial 16S ribosomal RNA
Rfam family: Bacterial small subunit ribosomal RNA
Source: RNAcentral